RNAcentral lists this non-coding RNA (20 nucleotides) under Arabidopsis thaliana (thale cress). Lineage: Eukaryota; Viridiplantae; Streptophyta; Magnoliopsida; Brassicales; Brassicaceae. The record is from RNAcentral.
UACUAAAUAAAUGAGGGCGU